RNAcentral lists this ribosomal RNA (642 nucleotides) under uncultured bacterium. RNAcentral describes it as "bacterial SSU rRNA". The stretch from base 1 to 544 matches the Rfam family "Bacterial small subunit ribosomal RNA", at positions 338 to 873 of the family's 1533-position model. The record is from RNAcentral.
CCUACGGGAGGCAGCAGUAGGGAAUCUUCCGCAAUGGACGCAAGUCUGACGGAGCAACGCCGCGUGAGUGACGAAGGUUUUCGGAUCGUAAAACUCUGUUGUGAGGGAAGAACACGUACCAACUAACUAUUGGUACCUUGACGGUACCUCACCAGAAAGCCACGGCUAACUACGUGCCAGCAGCCGCGGUAAUACGUAGGUGGCAAGCGUUGUCCGGAAUUAUUGGGCGUAAAGCGCGCGCAGGCGGUUCCUUAAGUCUGAUGUGAAAGCCCACGGCUCAACCGUGGAGGGUCAUUGGAAACUGGGGAACUUGAGUGCAGAAGAGGAAAGUGGAAUUCCACGUGUAGCGGUGAAAUGCGUAGAGAUGUGGAGGAACACCAGUGGCGAAGGCGACUUCCUGGUCUGUAACUGACGCUGAGGCGCGAAAGCGUGGGGAGCAAACAGGAUUAGAUACCCUGGUAGUCCACGCCGUAAACGAUGAGUGCUAAGUGUUAGGGGGUUUCCGCCCCUUAGUGCUGCNGCUACGACAUAAGUCGACUCCGCCGUCGGGAGGUACGGCCGGCGACGGAACGUAGUAAACGUUAAAGGUUAAAGUUAGUUACGGCGUGAGACGUUGCCGACGGACGACGACGAGGGAGGAGG